UACAGAGGGGGCAAGCGUUGUUCGGAAUUACUGGGCGUAAAGGGCGCGUAGGCGGCCUGCUAAGUCGGACGUGAAAUCCCUCGGCUCAACCGGGGAACUGCGUCCGAUACUGGCGGGCUUGAAUCCGGGAGAGGAAUGCGGAAUUCCAGGUGUAGCGGUGAAAUGCGUAGAUAUCUGGAGGAACACCGGUGGCGAAGGCGGCAUUCUGGACCGGCAUUGACGCUGAUGCGCGAAAGCCAGGGGAGCAAACGGG
This 253-nucleotide ribosomal RNA is filed under the name uncultured bacterium. RNAcentral's name for it is "partial 16S ribosomal RNA". It matches the Rfam family "Bacterial small subunit ribosomal RNA", at positions 524 to 776 of the family's 1533-position model. The record is from RNAcentral.